UGGCUGUGACUUCUCAGAACCCAUGC
This 26-nucleotide non-coding RNA is filed under the name Rattus norvegicus (Norway rat). Lineage: Eukaryota; Metazoa; Chordata; Mammalia; Rodentia; Muridae. The record is from RNAcentral.